CUUUGCUCAAGCUGCCCACCCUACCCCAAAAGCCUUUAAACAAAUGCUCUGCAGCUGUCCUGGGCAGUCAGAGCUAAAGAGACUGAUAAUCUCCCAGAAUCAAAAGCAGGGUGGUACCUAAAUGUCACUAAACCAACCUUUCAUUUUACAGAUGAUCAAACAGAGGUCAAAGAGAGAAAAACCAUUGUCUAAGAACACAUAGCUCCUGCUCUUAUCUCCCAGGGCAGAGCUGUACCCUCUAAGGAGCCUGCCUUCUACCGCUUCUCCGCGAGACUGGAUUCUGACUUUAAAGUUAGCAUGUGGGCACGUGCAUCCGCGUCUCUUUGCCUCUGUCUACUACAGCAGUAAGAACAUGGCACAGUUGCUUUUCUGUCUGCUAAUUCAAUCCAGUGUUCUUCAAUGACUACUUAGUGCAAGGUCUGGGCAAGAUACUUCAGAAGAAACUUAGAAUAUGAAUCAACAAUCUGUAAGGAACUCACAAUGCAGGACACAAGAGAAGAGGAUUUGGUGUCAGAUUCGGAUCCACCAAAAAAUCUGGAACCUGAAUGGACAAGACAGUCAAGGAGACACAGGGAGAACCAGCUGACACUCAUCUGCCUGCCUUAUAACUACAAAGCUCCAUAAACAGAAGCUUCCAAGAUGUUAG
This is a long non-coding RNA of Bos taurus (domestic cattle), 646 nucleotides long. Lineage: Eukaryota; Metazoa; Chordata; Mammalia; Artiodactyla; Bovidae. The record is from Ensembl.